AGUGACAGAGUUAGGAGGGAGUGAUUAGUGACAGAGAGAGGGAUGGGGUGACUAGUGACAGUCACCCCCACCCACACUCUGUCACUAGUCACGCCCUCCCUCUCUCUGUCACU
RNAcentral lists this microRNA precursor (113 nucleotides) under Pelobates cultripes (western spadefoot toad). Lineage: Eukaryota; Metazoa; Chordata; Amphibia; Anura; Pelobatidae. The record is from RNAcentral.